Molecule: non-coding RNA, 521 nt
Organism: Dermacentor andersoni
Lineage: Eukaryota; Metazoa; Arthropoda; Arachnida; Ixodida; Ixodidae
Source: RefSeq, a predicted model, not a curated record
CAUCACUUGUGCAUGUGCAACACAUUGGCGGAGGCAAUACGAACUGCAUUUCUCACUAGCUGGACAAGUCGGAAUGGCAAUACACCUUGGAGAACAAGACUCGAAUUGUGAAAGUCUGGUGGUUUCACAGAACUUUGUUUUAUGUCAAGAUGGGCUGACACCAUGUCACCUGAUGCUGUCACUCUCUGGUAAGCAUGUUAAAAAAAUAAAAACAAUCCACUUUGAACAGUAAGGAGUAGUGUUUAUUUUAUUCAAAAUAGAAAUGUGGGCCCCUUAACGGUGAACUGCACCUCUACCGCGGGUCGGCCUGGUAUUGCACUACCUAUGGGAUUGGCCCAUGUGUGGGGAGUGCUUAAAGCCUGCUUCAUCUCCGCCGCAGGUUUGACUGGCAUUUCACGACCUUCAGGAUCAGCCCACAUAUGGGGAGUGCUUAAUGCUUGCUUCACUUCUGCCUCGGGUUGGCCUGGUAUUGCACUUUCUUCGGGAUCGGCCCACCGUAUGAAAAAUUGUUGGUCUAUGCG